Molecule: small RNA, 98 nt
Filed under: Arabidopsis thaliana (thale cress)
Lineage: Eukaryota; Viridiplantae; Streptophyta; Magnoliopsida; Brassicales; Brassicaceae
Description: ATSL031610
Source: RNAcentral
ACAAACAAUUAUUUAUUCCAUAUAUUCUCUUGUCAUCAACUACACAAUCACAUCAUGAUAUGCUAGUAAUUCAAGUCAACACUUUAAUUCUUUUCCUU